This 253-nucleotide ribosomal RNA is filed under the name uncultured bacterium. RNAcentral describes it as "partial 16S ribosomal RNA". It matches the Rfam family "Bacterial small subunit ribosomal RNA", at positions 524 to 776 of the family's 1533-position model. The record is from RNAcentral.
UACGUAGGGGGCUAGCGUUGUCCGGACUUAUUGGGCGUAAAGAGCGUGUAGGCGGCCAGGUAGGUCUGCUGUGAAAACUCGAGGCUUAACCUCGAGAUGUCGGCGGAAACCAUCUGGCUAGAGUCCGGAAGAGGAGAGUGGAAUUCCUGGUGUAGCGGUGAAAUGCGCAGAUAUCAGGAAGAACACCCGUGGCGAAGGCGGCUCUCUGGGACGGUACUGACGCUGAGACGCGAAAGCGUGGGGAGCGAACAGG